GCCAGGCAUGGUGACGCAUACCUGUAAUCCCAGCUACUUGGGAGGCUGAGGCAGGAGAAUUGUUUGAACCCAGGAGGGGGAGUUGGCAGUGAGCUGAGAUCGUGCCACUGCACUCCAGCCUGGGUGACAGAGUGAGACUCUGUCUCAA
RNAcentral lists this non-coding RNA (148 nucleotides) under Chlorocebus sabaeus (green monkey). The record is from Rfam by way of RNAcentral. Lineage: Eukaryota; Metazoa; Chordata; Mammalia; Primates; Cercopithecidae.